UGGGGAAUUUUGCGCAAUGGGGGAAACCCUGACGCAGCAACGCCGCGUGGAGGAUGAAGCCCCUUGGGGCGUAAACUCCUUUCGAUCGGGAAGAUAAUGACGGUACCGGAAGAAGAAGCCCCGGCUAACUUCGUGCCAGCAGCCGCGGUAAUACGAGGGGGGCGAGCGUUGUUCGGAAUUAUUGGGCGUAAAGGGCGCGUAGGCGGUUGGACAAGUCUCAUGUGAAAUCUUCAGGCUCAACUUGAAGUCUGCAUGGGAAACUGUCCGGCUGGAGUGUGGGAGAGGUGCGUGGAAUUUCCGGUGUAGCGGUGAAAUGCGUAGAUAUCGGAAGGAACACCUGUGGCGAAAGCGGCGCACCGGACCAUAACUGACGCUGAGGCGCGAAAGCUAGGGGGGCAAACAGGAUUAGAUACCCUGGUAGUCCUAGCCCUAAACGAUGAUUGCUUGGUGUGACGGGUACCCAAUCCCGCCGUGCCGCAGCUAACGCGAUAAGCA
RNAcentral lists this ribosomal RNA (495 nucleotides) under uncultured bacterium. RNAcentral's name for it is "bacterial SSU rRNA". It matches the Rfam family "Bacterial small subunit ribosomal RNA", at positions 355 to 866 of the family's 1533-position model. The record is from RNAcentral.